UACAGAGGUCUCGAGCGUUAGGCGGAAUCACUGGGCUUAAAGCGUGUGUAGGCGGCGGGCUAAGUACCUUGUGAAAUCCCACGGCUUAACUGUGGAACUGCUGGGUAUACUGGUUCGCUUGAGCGGUCUAGGGGCGAGCGGAACAAAUGGUGGAGCGGUGAAAUGCGUAGAUAUCAUUUGGAACGCCAACGGUGAAAACAGCUCGCUGGGGGCCUGCUGACGCUGAGACACGAAAGCCAGGGGAGCGAACGGG
RNAcentral lists this ribosomal RNA (253 nucleotides) under uncultured bacterium. Its description in RNAcentral is "partial 16S ribosomal RNA". It matches the Rfam family "Bacterial small subunit ribosomal RNA", at positions 524 to 776 of the family's 1533-position model. The record is from RNAcentral.